GUGGGGAAUUUUGGACAAUGGGCGCAAGCCUGAUCCAGCCAUUCCGCGUGCAGGACGAAGGCCUUCGGGUUGUAAACUGCUUUUGUACGGAACGAAAGGGCUCUCUCUAAUACAGGGGGCAUAUGACGGUACCGUAAGAAUAAGCACCGGCUAACUACGUGCCAGCAGCCGCGGUAAUACGUAGGGUGCAAGCGUUAAUCGGAAUUACUGGGCGUAAAGCGUGCGCAGGCGGUUUUGUAAGACAGAGGUGAAAUCCCCGGGCUCAACCUGGGAACGGCCUUUGUGACUGCAAAGCUGGAGUGCGGCAGAGGGGGAUGGAAUUCCGCGUGUAGCAGUGAAAUGCGUAGAUAUGCGGAGGAACACCGAUGGCGAAGGCAAUCCCCUGGGCCUGCACUGACGCUCAUGCACGAAAGCGUGGGGAGCAAACAGGAUUAGAAACCCCAGUAGUCC
Molecule: ribosomal RNA, 450 nt
Filed under: uncultured bacterium
Lineage: Bacteria
Description: bacterial SSU rRNA
Rfam family: Bacterial small subunit ribosomal RNA
Source: RNAcentral